RNAcentral lists this ribosomal RNA (412 nucleotides) under Paenibacillus sp. HGH0037. Its description in RNAcentral is "bacterial SSU rRNA". It matches the Rfam family "Bacterial small subunit ribosomal RNA", at positions 222 to 627 of the family's 1533-position model. Lineage: Bacteria; Bacillati; Bacillota; Bacilli; Caryophanales; Paenibacillaceae. The record is from RNAcentral.
CGGAUGGGCCUGCGGCGCAUUAGCUAGUUGGUGAGGUAACGGCUCACCAAGGCGACGAUGCGUAGCCGACCUGAGAGGGUGAACGGCCACACUGGGACUGAGACACGGCCCAGACUCCUACGGGAGGCAGCAGUAGGGAAUCUUCCGCAAUGGACGCAAGUCUGACGGAGCAACGCCGCGUGAGUGAUGAAGGUUUUCGGAUCGUAAAGCUCUGUUGCCAGGGAAGAACGCCAAGGAGAGUAACUGCUCUUUGGGUGACGGUACCUGAGAAGAAAGCCCCGGCUAACUACGUGCCAGCAGCCGCGGUAAUACGUAGGGGGCAAGCGUUGUCCGGAAUUAUUGGGCGUAAAGCGCGCGCAGGCGGUUUUUUAAGUCUGGUGUUUAAUCCCGAGGCUCAACCUCGGUUCGCACC